UUGACCUCAAAUCAGGUGGGACUACCCGCUGAACUUAAGCAUAUCAAUAAGCGGAGGAAAAGAAACUAACAAGGAUUCCCUUAGUAACUGCGAGUGAAGUGGGAAGAGCUCAAAUUUGAAAUCUGGCAGUCUCUGGCUGUCCGAGUUGUAAUCUAGAGAAGUGUUGCCCGCGCUGGACCGUGUACAAGUCUCCUGGGAUGGAGCGUCAUAGAGGGUGAGAAUCCCGUCUCUGACAUGGACUACCAGGGCUUUUGUGGUGCGCUCUCAAAGAGUCGAGUUGUUUGGGAAUGCAGCUCAAAAUGGGCGGUAAAUUCCAUCUAAAGCUAAAUAUUGGCGAGAGACCGAUAGUGAACAAGUACCGUGAGGGAAAGAUGAAAAGAACUUUGGAAAGAGAGUUAAACAGUACGUGAAAUUGCUGAAAGGGAAACGCUUGAAGUCAGUCGCGUUGGCCAGGGAUCAGCCUUGCUUCUUAGUGUGGUGUACUUCCUGGUUGACGGGUCAGCAUCGGUUUCGACUGCUGGAGAAAGGCUUGGGGAAUGUGGCAGCUCUGGCUGUGUUAUAGCCUCCUGUCAGAUACAGUGGUUGGGACUGAGGAACGCAGCAUGCCGCAAGGCCGGGGCUAAUAUCAGCCUACGUUCAUGCUUAGGAUGUUGACAUAAUGGCUUUAAGCGACCCGUCUUGAAACACGGACCAAUC
This 696-nucleotide ribosomal RNA is filed under the name Leucocoprinus gongylophorus. RNAcentral describes it as "eukaryotic LSU rRNA". It matches the Rfam family "Eukaryotic large subunit ribosomal RNA", at positions 1 to 671 of the family's 3401-position model. The record is from RNAcentral. Lineage: Eukaryota; Fungi; Basidiomycota; Agaricomycetes; Agaricales; Agaricaceae.